RNAcentral lists this ribosomal RNA (443 nucleotides) under uncultured bacterium. RNAcentral describes it as "partial 16S ribosomal RNA". It matches the Rfam family "Bacterial small subunit ribosomal RNA", at positions 338 to 795 of the family's 1533-position model. The record is from RNAcentral.
CCUACGGGCGGCAGCAGUGGGGAAUAUUGGACAAUGGGGGGAACCCUGAUCCAGCGACGCCGCGUGAGUGAAGAAGUAUUUCGGUAUGUAAAGCUCUAUCAGCAGGGAAGAAAGGAAUGACGGUACCUGACUAAGAAGCCCCGGCUAACUACGUGCCAGCAGCCGCGGUAAUACGUAGGGGGCAAGCGUUAUCCGGAUUUACUGGGUGUAAAGGGAGCGUAGACGGUUACGCAAGUCUGGAGUGAAAGGCGGGGGCCCAACCCCCAGACUGCUUUGGAAACUGUAUAACUGGAGUGCAGGAGAGGUAAGUGGAAUUCCUAGUGUAGCGGUGAAAUGCGUAGAUAUUAGGAGGAACACCAGUGGCGAAGGCGGCUUACUGAACUGUAACUGACGUUGAGGCUCGAAAGCGUGGGGAGCAAACAGGAUUAGAUACCCGAGUAGUC